Molecule: ribosomal RNA, 714 nt
Filed under: uncultured bacterium
Lineage: Bacteria
Description: bacterial SSU rRNA
Rfam family: Bacterial small subunit ribosomal RNA
Source: RNAcentral
UAACACGUAUCCAACCUGCCGUCUACUCUUGGACAGCCUUCUGAAAGGAAGAUUAAUACAAGAUGGCAUCAUGAGUCCACAUGUUCGCAUGAUUAAAGGUAUUCCGGUAGACGAUGGGGAUGCGUUCCAUUAGAUAGUAGGCGGGGUAACGGCCCACCUAGUCUUCGAUGGAUAGGGGUUCUGAGAGGAAGGUCCCCCACAUUGGAACUGAGACACGGUCCAAACUCCUACGGGAGGCAGCAGUGAGGAAUAUUGGUCAAUGGGCGAGAGCCUGAACCAGCCAAGUAGCGUGAAGGAUGACUGCCCUAUGGGUUGUAAACUUCUUUUAUAAAGGAAUAAAGUCGGGUAUGGAUACCCGUUUGCAUGUACUUUAUGAAUAAGGAUCGGCUAACUCCGUGCCAGCAGCCGCGGUAAUACGGAGGAUCCGAGCGUUAUCCGGAUUUAUUGGGUUUAAAGGGAGCGUAGAUGGAUGUUUAAGUCAGUUGUGAAAGUUUGCGGCUCAACCGUAAAAUUGCAGUUGAUACUGGAUAUCUUGAGUGCAGUUGAGGCAGGCGGAAUUCGUGGUGUAGCGGUGAAAUGCUUAGAUAUCACGAAGAACUCCGAUUGCGAAGGCAGCCUGCUAAGCUGCAACUGACAUUGAGGCUCGAAAGUGUGGGUAUCAAACAGGAUUAGAUACCCUGGUAGUCCACACGGUAAACGAUGAAUACUCGCUGU